This 311-nucleotide long non-coding RNA is filed under the name Brassica napus (rape). Its description in RNAcentral is "long non-coding RNA (BNAP_LNC018799)". Lineage: Eukaryota; Viridiplantae; Streptophyta; Magnoliopsida; Brassicales; Brassicaceae. The record is from RNAcentral.
GAGGUGGUGGUGAAUUCCGUGGCUGUGGAUGUUGUGGUGGUGGAUGUGGACACGGAGGUGGAAGAUGUGAGGAGGAGGAAGUGGUGGUGGAUGUCGUGGUGGUGGAUAUUGUGGUGGUGGAUGUGGAUCCGGAGGUGGAAGACGUGAGGAGGAGGAAAUAGUGGUGGAUGUCGUGUUGGUGGAUGUGGAUACAGAGGCGAAAGACGUGAGGAGAAGAAGGUGACGGAGGAUAUAGUGGCAGUGAAAACAAAAAUUGAUAAUACAAGAAGUGAAAAAAUUAGUUUAUAUAGUAUGUCCACAAUUCUACCAAC